UACAUGGGGUGCAAACGUUGCUCGGAAUUAUUGGGCGUAAAGAGCUCGUAGGCGGUUCGUCGCGUCGGCUGUGAAAACCUGAGGCUCAACCUCAGGCCUGCAGUCGAUACGGGCGGACUUGAGUACUGCAGGGGAGACUGGAAUUCCUGGUGUAGCGGUGAAAUGCGCAGAUAUCAGGAGGAACACCGGUGGCGAAGGCGGGUCUCUGGGCAGUAACUGACGCUGAGGAGCGAAAGCGUGGGGAGCGAACAGG
This 253-nucleotide ribosomal RNA is filed under the name uncultured bacterium. RNAcentral describes it as "partial 16S ribosomal RNA". It matches the Rfam family "Bacterial small subunit ribosomal RNA", at positions 524 to 776 of the family's 1533-position model. The record is from RNAcentral.